GACGAACGCUGGCGGCGUGCUUAACACAUGCAAGUCGAACGGACAGGCCCUGCUCUUGUGGGGUGCUCGAGUGGCGAACGCGCGAGUAACACGUGAGUAACCUGCCCUUGUCUUUGGGAUAACUUCAGGAAACUGGGGCUAAUACCGGAUAGGAGCUUCUGCUGCACGGUGGUGGUUGGAAAGUUUCGGCUGUUGUGGAUGGACUCGCGGGUUAUCCGCUGGAUUGGGGGGUAGUGGCUUACCAAGGCUUUGACGGGUACGCGGCAUGAGAGGGGGGCCGGCCACAUUGGGACUGAGAUACGGCCCAGACGCCUACGGGAGGCAGCAGUGGGGAAUAUUGCACAAUGGGCGGAAGCCUGAUGCAGCAACGCCGCGUGCGGGAUGACGGCCUUCGGGUUGUAAACCGCUUUCGCCUGUGACGAAGCGUGAGUGACGGUAAUGGGUAAAGAAGCACCGGCUAACUACGUG
This 468-nucleotide ribosomal RNA is filed under the name uncultured bacterium. RNAcentral describes it as "partial 16S ribosomal RNA". It matches the Rfam family "Bacterial small subunit ribosomal RNA", at positions 28 to 507 of the family's 1533-position model. The record is from RNAcentral.